This 71-nucleotide microRNA precursor is filed under the name Calypte anna (Anna's hummingbird). RNAcentral's name for it is "mir-551 microRNA precursor family". It matches the Rfam family "mir-551 microRNA precursor family". The record is from Rfam by way of RNAcentral. Lineage: Eukaryota; Metazoa; Chordata; Aves; Apodiformes; Trochilidae.
UGACCCUGGAAAUCAAGUAUAGGUGGGGCCUGUGCUGUGAUGGGGCGACCCAUACUUGGUUUCAAGGGUCU